Molecule: RNA transcript, 4220 nt
Organism: Spinacia oleracea (spinach)
Lineage: Eukaryota; Viridiplantae; Streptophyta; Magnoliopsida; Caryophyllales; Amaranthaceae
Gene name: protein DETOXIFICATION 45, chloroplastic
Exons: 16
Source: RefSeq, a predicted model, not a curated record
GGCAGCCCAUUAGAAUGAAGACCCACGUGUAAAAUAUCCAGGAACUUCUUCCCAGACGAAAAGCUUACCCUGCAAAAACAAAACGAAAAUUCAAUCUCUGAGAGAAACUUCGACAUUAGAACCGCUUCCCCCGCAAUUUCUUCAUCCUUCACUCUCAUCCUCCCUACAAAAUCCACCAAGGUAGAAUUAUAUGGAUUGAGGAGAGGCAAUAUAACAAGGUUUAAGGAUGACAGCUGCACAACUUUGUGGUGGCAAAUUAUCAGCGGCAUUUGCCAACACUAGGAGAAGAUGGAGCAAGGCAGCUGGAUCAAGUUCUGUGGGGCAAUCAUGUAGAUUUAGUUAUUCACUUCCAUUGGCUAUACGGAAGAGUUGUGAAGAUGUUUCUGGAAUCUGCAAUUUGUCUGCUGACAGAAGAAAGUUGCCUCACAAAUCUUUUAUUCAUUGUAGAAAACCUUUUCAUAAUGUGACACGCAGUUUGUUGGAUUCGGAUUGCACUAUUGAGCCUUGUGAUGUGGAGGAGGAUUCUCAUGAUUUAGUGGAGAGUGCUGCAGAAGAGAGUACGUUAGAAAAGAAUAAUGGUGUUAAUGGUUCAAGUGAGUCUGUACUUCAGCCCCUGAACCAGUUGCCUCCUCCAAAUGUCAAACGGGAGCUUAUAAUGCUUUCUUUACCGGCAAUAGCUAGCCAGGCCAUUGAUCCUAUGGCUCAGCUGAUGGAGACAGCUUAUAUUGGUAGUUUAGGUCCUGUACAACUGGCAUCAGCUGGUGUUUCUAUGUCGAUCUUUAAUAUCAUUUCGAAGCUAUUCAACAUACCACUUCUUAGUGUUGCUACUUCUUUCGUAGCUGAAGAUUUAGCAAAGUCUUCUUCAGAUGGCGAUGAAAAAAAUGAAAGAAAACAGUUAUCAUCAGUUUCGACAGCGUUAUUUCUCGCUCUAGGCAUUGGCAUCAUUGAGGCGCUAGCUUUACUUUUGGGAGCUGGAUCAUUCCUCAGGUUAAUGGGUGUCUCAGCAGAUUCUCCUAUGCGAGUACAAGCUGAGAAGUUUCUGUCGCUUAGAGCUCUUGGUGCCCCCGCUGUUGUACUUUCUUUGGCUCUUCAGGGUGUGCUGAGGGGAUUUAAGGACACAAAAACCCCUGUAUUCUGUCUAGGUGUCGCCAAUCUUGCAGCUGUUUUUCUGUUCCCGCUUUUCAUAAAUUAUUUUCAGAUGGGUGUCACUGGAGCAGCCACUGCCACUGUUGUGUCUCAAUACAUAGGUAGCUUCUUGAUGAUUUGGUUUCUUAGCAAGAGAGUAAUAUUAUUACCUCCAAAAUUUGGAGAUCUGAAGUUUGGGGUCUAUUUAAAAUCUGGUGGAUUUCUGAUUGGAAGAACUGUGGCUGUUUUGAUAACUAUGACGAUUGGCACCUCAAUGGCUGCUCGUCAAGGUCCUCUAGCUAUGGCUGCUCAUCAAAUCUGUAUGCAAGUGUGGUUGGCUGUCUCUCUUUUAACUGAUGGAUUGGCCGCAUCUGGUCAGGCUCUGGUUGCUAGUUCUUUGUCAAGAGGUGACUACAAUGCAGUGAAAGAGUUGACUAACUUUGUUUUGAAGAUUGGGAUAGUUACUGGUGGCGCUUUAGCCGUGAUUUUGGGAUCAUCUUUUGGGUCUUUAGCGAACUUGUUCACGAAGGAUCCUGCUGUACUGCAGAUUGUAAAAUCCGGUACUUGGUUUGUCAGUGCAAGCCAGCCACUCAACUCUUUAGCUUUUAUCUUUGAUGGUCUUCAUUUUGGUGUGUCCGAUUUUUCAUACGCUGCUUAUUCCAUGAUGUUCGCAGGGGCAAUUUCGUCGGCUGUCCUUCUCUAUGCUCCCUCAGUAAUGGAUCUUCCUGGUGUUUGGCUCGGGUUGACCCUUUUUAUGGGCUUGCGCAUGGCUGCAGGAUAUUUUAGAAUUCUGUCAAAGAAUGGUCCAUGGUGGUUCUUGCACGGGGACUCGCAGAAACUUCCGGCCAUCAAUCAAUUUGGAUCCAACUGAAACGGUCAGCGACAGCGAUUCAAAUGGUGCCGAACUUUGAUUCUUCAAAAUUUUCCUUAGGUACUAACUUGAGAACUCUAUCAGACGGAUGCCCCAGCCGACGAUGCCAUAACUCAAAUGUAGAAACUUCAGGAACGGUCACCGCACACACUGUAGGUAUUUUCCGAAAAUAAUAUAUUCCAUCCCUUCGUUCACCGGCUCCAAUCAGGCUCCCCGCACGUUUGUCCUGUAUAGCACAAAGAGAGUCACAAAGAAAGUCGGUGAAUUGGACAAAACAUUUAGAAUCAUUAAUCAAUUGCGACACCGAUAUUAAAUUGCAAUGCAAAGUAGGAACAUAAAAAAAUUGUGAAGAAUUAAUGUGCUUGAUAGUACUGCUUGACCCUCCAUGGUAGCAAUAACAUUAUUUCCGUCCGGUAAACCAACUGGAGAGGCAAUAAUAGACUCCAUAUUUGUCAACCGAGAAGAGUCACCAGUGACAUGGCGUGACGCGCCGGUGUCAAUUAUCCAAGGUAACGAGGAACACGCACCUAUCAUCUUGUCUAACUGAGAACUAUUACUGUUUAGCAUACAGUCUGGCUGAUGGGAGGACUGGGGCCUACUAUACUCCACGUGGCUCGCUGGAGUACCACCAUUAGAGGAACCCACGAGACUGCUCUCUCCUAUAACCUCCACGGUGUUGGCUCGUGUAGGUACCCCACGACCGCGACCUGCUGCAGCACCCCGCGAAGCACCCCCCGCCCCUUAGAACGUUCUGCUUCAUCUCUUCGUACCAUUUCGGGCAGCCAUGGAGUUUAAAGCAGGUGCUAUUGUCAUGUCUGUCACACUUGCAGUGGGUGCAAGUAAGGUGUGACUUAUCAGGCCGCUCAAAAUGAGGCUUUACACAUUCAGUUUGUAGAAAAUGGACUUAAUUUGCACCCCUUCCUUCACAGCCUUGGUAUUAGCAAUGUCACGGGAGCGUUCUUCUUGGAUGUUGCAUAUAAGUCAUCAUCAACACUGAUCGGGAAUUGGUGCAGAAUCUCCUCAUCCUCUCAUCCUGGUCCGCGGCUAUUUUCCCAGUCAUAUCACACGUGUAGGUACCAUUGGACCAGAUCAUCGUACAAUCCCGUGAGCAUGGUAUAAUAAUCUUCCAUGAACAUUCUCUUACCUUGCUUACAAGCCGUAAUUUGACGUCUUGAUUGUUGAAGACGAGGCCCAUUUACAACACCAUACUUCUUCGCCAAGAAAUCCCCCAGUUUCUUUGCAUUGUCAUGAAAGGGAAUAGGAGCAGCAAUCCCGGGUUCCAUGCUCCUAAACAUCCAACAGACUAGCAUUGAAUUAACAGUCACCCAAUCAAGUUGUUUCUUUUCCUUAGUAGGUUGUGUAAAUGUUCCAUUUACAAACAUAAAUUUUCGGCGAGAUUGUAGAGCCAAUUGCAUUGCCAUAGCCCACGCCAUAUAGUUUUCACCCCGUAGCAAUACGUGAGUGAUUAUGGUCCCCGGUUGAUCCACAAAACUUAAGUUAGUAAUAGGAGAUGCGGGAUCGAUCUUGCCAUCACCUUCCAUGGUUAUUCAAGAAAUCAGGCUGGUGAAAGUGUGAAACCUUGAAGGAAGAAACGGACGAGUAUAGAAAACGGAAGAAUGGAAAAGAAAAAAAAAAUUGUAGGUUAAGGUUUGCUAGGAUGCUAGCUCCGAUACCAUGACAAAUUAAUUAGGGUAAAUUCUUUUUUAGCCUUGUAUUUCAUAGUAAUUUGUGUUAUAUAGUACAACUCUAAGCUAUGGGGUUUUAGGUUAAAUACAUUAAAUACAAUUAUAUCCUUAAAGCCCAAUUACAAUGUAUAAGCCCUAAUAUCAAGGCUUAUAUGAACCUAUUUUCACAAAAUGGCAUUUGUACGACUACCAUUUUGGCGGGAAAGCUGCCACUUUUUCACUACUUUAUUGAUCGAACAAGCGUGGUCUGGUCCCCCCUGAGCCGGGGGGUGCUUGCGGGGAGGGCGACAAAAGCUUCACUUAAGCAAGUAAAUCAAGUUUGGGAUGUCACUUAAGUGAUGUUUUAUCUAUACUAAUAUAUUAAAAGGCGUUGAUAAACAAGCCUAUGUGCCACGUGGCACUCGCACUAAUCUCAUUUCAAUUUUCCAUGUCAUACACAAUUAUUUAAAAAUGAUAAAUAUGUGUGGUACAAGUCUUGAACCCCUGACCUCUAAUUGUAAACCGAACAAUUAACCACUACUCCAAAUCAAUUAUAUGUC